GACGAACGCUGGCGGCGUGCUUAACACAUGCAAGUCGAACGGAAAGGCCCUGCUUUUGUGGGGUGCUCGAGUGGCGAACGGGUGAGUAACACGUGAGUAACCUGCCCUUGACUUUGGGAUAACUUCAGGAAACUGGGGCUAAUACCGGCUAGGAGCUCCUGCUGCAUGGUGGGGGUUGGAAAGUUUCGGCGGUUGGGGAUGGACUCGCGGCUUAUCAGCUUGUUGGUGGGGUAGUGGCUUACCAAGGCUUUGACGGGUAGUCGGCCUGAGAGGUUGACCGGCCACAUUGGGACUGAGGUACGGCGCAGACUGCAACGGGAGGCAGCAGUGGGGAAUAUUGCACAAUGGGCGGAAGCCUGAGGCAGCAACGCCGCGUGCGGGAUGACGGCCUUCGGGUUGUAAACCGCUUUCGCCUGUGACGAAGCGUGAGUGACGGUAAUGGGUAAAGAAGCACCGGCUAACUACGUG
This 468-nucleotide ribosomal RNA is filed under the name uncultured bacterium. Its description in RNAcentral is "partial 16S ribosomal RNA". It matches the Rfam family "Bacterial small subunit ribosomal RNA", at positions 28 to 507 of the family's 1533-position model. The record is from RNAcentral.